ACGGAACUUUUUUAAAGAUUUCUUCGGAAUGAAUUUGAUUAAGUUUAGUGGCGGACGGGUGAGUAACGCGUGAGUAACCUGCCUCUAAGAGGGGAAUAACAUUCUGAAAAGAAUGCUAAUACCGCAUAACAUAUAUUUAUCGCAUGGUAGAUAUAUCAAAGAUUUAUCGCUUAGAGAUGGACUCGCGUCCGAUUAGUUAGUUGGUGAGGUAACGGCUCACCAAGACUGCGAUCGGUAGCCGGACUGAGAGGUUGAACGGCCACAUUGGGACUGAGACACGGCCCAGACUCCUACGGGAGGCAGCAGUGGGGGAUAUUGCGCAAUGGGGGAAACCCUGACGCAGCAACGCCGCGUGAAGGAUGAAGGUCUUCGGAUUGUAAACUUCUUUUAUUAAGGACGAAGAAAGUGACGGUACUUAAUGAAUAAGCUCCGGCUAACUACGUGCCAGCAGCCGCGGUAAUACGUAGGGAGCAAGCGUUGUCCGGAUUUACUGGGUGUAAAGGGUGCGUAGGCGGCUUUGCAAGUCAGAUGUGAAAUCUAUGGGCUCAACCCAUAGCCUGCAUUUGAAACUGCAGAGCUUGAGUGAAGUAGAGGCAGGCGGAAUUCCCCGUGUAGCGGUGAAAUGCGUAGAGAUGGGGAGGAACACCAGUGGCGAAGGCGGCCUGCUGGGCUUUAACUGACGCUGAGGCACGAAAGCGUGGGUAGCAA
This 708-nucleotide ribosomal RNA is filed under the name uncultured bacterium. Its description in RNAcentral is "bacterial SSU rRNA". It matches the Rfam family "Bacterial small subunit ribosomal RNA", at positions 66 to 771 of the family's 1533-position model. The record is from RNAcentral.